RNAcentral lists this ribosomal RNA (484 nucleotides) under uncultured bacterium. RNAcentral's name for it is "partial 16S ribosomal RNA". It matches the Rfam family "Bacterial small subunit ribosomal RNA", at positions 30 to 507 of the family's 1533-position model. The record is from RNAcentral.
AUUGAACGCUGGCGGCAGGCCUAACACAUGCAAGUCGAGCGGAUGAAGGGAGCUUGCUCGUGGAUUCAGCGGCGGACGGGCGGGUAAGGGCUAGGAAUCUGCCUGUCAGUGGGGGAUAACGGCCGGAAACGGGCGCUAAUACGGCAUACGUCCUGAGGGAGAAAGGGUGGGAUCUUCGGACCUCACGCUAUCAGGUGAGCCUAGGUCGGAUUAGCUAGUUGGUGGGGUAAAGGCCUACCAAGGCGACGAUCCGUAACUGGUCUGAGAGGAUGAUCAGCCACACUGGAACUGAGACACGGUCCAGACUCCUACGGGAGGCAGCAGUGGGGAAUAUUGGACAAUGGGCGAAAGCCUGAUCCAGCCAUGCCGCGUGUGUGAAGAAGGUCUUCGGAUUGUAAAGCCCUUUAAGUUGGGAAGAAGAGCAGUAAGUUAAUACCUUGCUGUUUUGACGUUACCAACAGAAUAAGCACCGGCUAACUUCGUG